Molecule: long non-coding RNA, 773 nt
Organism: Helicoverpa armigera (cotton bollworm)
Lineage: Eukaryota; Metazoa; Arthropoda; Insecta; Lepidoptera; Noctuidae
Exons: 3
Source: RefSeq, a predicted model, not a curated record
CACUACUUAGUUCGUUACCGUGUCAUAUCAUAUUGUAUUAUCGACCGGCGUGCGCGACUCUAUCAUUGACAACACUAUUUAAAAUUAAAUUAUUAAAAACAAGUUUAAAAUAUCUCUCGAUUAAAAUUAAAAUUGAAAUAUAAACAUGGAUUCUGACAGCAAAAAUGCGUCCAAAACACGAAAUUCAACACAAGUUAUGAGCUACAACCCAUGGAAUUUGUUAUUUAGCCCCAGAAAUCGUACUAACAGUGAAACCAGUGUCGGUUCUAAUAUUUCUCAAAGUAGUCAACAAGGUACUCAAUUCGGGACACUACAGAGGCAAACGAGCAAAAACGAAGAAUAUCUGUGGAUGAUGUGGCGUUCUUAAGUGCACGCAAUCCGAGAGCGGAGUCUUCGUCCGGGGAACUUGAAACUUUAGCUGUUACGUUUACUUGAUAUUGCAUUAUAAUUAUGUGUUGGCAAACGCCUAGGCCGUACGUCUUAGCGUAGAUAAUGUUGGAACACGUAGCACUCCUCCCGGCCUGGUUUCUCAUGGCGUGGCUGGGAGCCUGCCUUCUCUUCAGCCCUUUCGCAAUAUUCUUCGUAAUGUGCUUACCGCAAUUACCACUUUUAGUCGUAAGAAGGGCAUGCCAUAUACCAUUCGAGUAUAUUUGAACACUGAAUGGGAGAAAUGUGUGUGAUAGUCAUGUAUUUUAGGGUAUGAAUAUUCAUAAGUUUGUAUAAAGUGUAAAUAUUUUAUAAUGAAUACAUUUUUAUUUUAUGAAGCAUCUUUA